AACAAUGAUUUCCCUAGUAACGGCGAGUGAAGAGGAAAGAGCUCAAAGUUGGAACCUGUUUGGCUUAGCUAAACCGGAUUGUAAACUGUAGAAGUGUUUUCCAGACACGCCUGGUAAAAAAGUCCUUUGGAACAGGGCAUCAUAGAGGGUGAGAAUCCCGUCUUUGGCCAGAGCUGUUGUCUUUUGUGAUACAUUUUCAAAGAGUCAGGUUGUUUGGGAAUGCAGCCUAAAUUGGGUGGUAAAUCUCACCUAAAGCUAAAUAUUUGCGAGAGACCGAUAGCGAACAAGUACCGUGAGGGAAAGAUGAAAAGAACUUUGAAAAGAGAGUUAAACAGUAUGUGAAAUUGUUAAAAGGGAACCGUUUGGAGCCAGACUGGCUUGACUGUAAUCAAUCUAGGCUUCGGCCUGGAUGCACUUGCGGUUUAUGCCUGCCAACGACAAUUUUUUUUGAGGGAAAAAACUAUUAGGAAUGUGGCCCCUCUCGGGGGGUGUUAUAGCCUUUUAGAAAAUACCUUGAAUUGGAUUGAGGAACGCAGUGAAUGCCUUUAGGCAAGAUUGCUGGGCGCUUUCGCUAAUAAAUGCUAGAAUUUCUGCUUCGGGUGGUGCUAGUGUUUAAAGGAGAAACUCGUCUGGUAUAUUUUUUAUUCGCUUAGGUUGUUGGCUUAAGA
Molecule: ribosomal RNA, 668 nt
Filed under: Mucor flavus
Lineage: Eukaryota; Fungi; Mucoromycota; Mucoromycetes; Mucorales; Mucoraceae
Description: eukaryotic LSU rRNA
Rfam family: Eukaryotic large subunit ribosomal RNA
Source: RNAcentral